UGGAUAGCUCACUUGGUUAGAGUGUGGUGCUAAUAAUGCCAAGGUUUCAGGUUUUAUUCCUGUAUGGGACAA
RNAcentral lists this transfer RNA (72 nucleotides) under Podarcis lilfordi (Lilford's wall lizard). RNAcentral describes it as "tRNA.Ile". The record is from RNAcentral. Lineage: Eukaryota; Metazoa; Chordata; Lepidosauria; Squamata; Lacertidae.